RNAcentral lists this ribosomal RNA (478 nucleotides) under uncultured bacterium. Its description in RNAcentral is "partial 16S ribosomal RNA". It matches the Rfam family "Bacterial small subunit ribosomal RNA", at positions 28 to 507 of the family's 1533-position model. The record is from RNAcentral.
GACGAACGCUGGCGGCGUGCUUAACACAUGCAAGUCGAACGGGAUUUAGUACACAGAAACCUCGGUGGAAGAUUACUAAUGAGAGUGGCGAACGGGUGAGUAACGCGUGAGCAACCUGCCUAUGACAGUGGGAUAGCCUCGGGAAACCGGGAUUAAUACCGCAUAAAAUCGUAGAAACACAUGUUCUAACGGUCAAAGAUUUAUCGGUCAUAGAUGGGCUCGCGUCUGAUUAGCUAGUUGGUGAGAUAACAGCCCACCAAGGCGACGAUCAGUAGCCGGUCUGAGAGGAUGAACGGCCACAUUGGAACUGAGACACGGUCCAAACUCCUACGGGAGGCAGCAGUGGGGAAUAUUGCACAAUGGGGGAAACCCUGAUGCAGCGACGCCGCGUGAACGAAGAAGGUAUUCGUAUCGUAAAGUUCUGUCCUAUGGGAAGAUAAUGACAGUACCAUAGAAGAAAGCUCCGGCUAAAUACGUG